This is a long non-coding RNA of Hippopotamus amphibius kiboko, 375 nucleotides long. RefSeq lists it as uncharacterized. The record is from RefSeq and is a predicted model, not a curated record. The transcript has 3 exons. Lineage: Eukaryota; Metazoa; Chordata; Mammalia; Artiodactyla; Hippopotamidae.
GGUAGGGCUAAUGGAGGCCUCUGGAAGGGCUCACGCCAAUGAGCACUUCCCAGAACCCCUGCCACCAGUGCCUCUGUCUACUUGGUGAGCCACAGCUGCCUCCCACCUCUGCAGGCAACCUCCAAUACCAGCAGUUCCCUCCAAGGCUCUCAUCAAAGUCACGGAAAGACACAUCAUCAAUUAAGCUAAACUCUGAUUACCAGCCAUUUCUGGGCCAGGAAGCAGGUGCUGUACCUGUCCAGAGGUGAUAUUCAAAACACUGAACAACCAACAGUCCAUCACCCCGGUCUGGUAAGCACAGACAUUGGAGUAAGUGCUGAUGUGGCAACACAGUCUGUUCCCAAGCUGAAUAUCAGCCCUGAUCUCAUUACCCCU